UUAUUACUCCAUCCGUCCUAAAAUUCUUGUCUUAGUUCUAUCUAGAUAUGAAUCUAUCUAAAUAUUAAUACAUUACUAGAUGCAUUCAUAUUUAGACAAAUCAAAGACAAGAAUUUUGAGACGGAGGAAGUAUUUG
Hordeum vulgare subsp. vulgare (domesticated barley) is the source of this 136-nucleotide non-coding RNA. Lineage: Eukaryota; Viridiplantae; Streptophyta; Magnoliopsida; Poales; Poaceae. The record is from Rfam.